AGAGUUUGAUCCUGGCUCAGGAUGAACGCUAGCGGCAGGCUUAACACAUGCAAGUCGAGGGGCAGCACGGGCUUCGGCCUGGUGGCGACCGGCAAACGGGUGCGGAACACGUACGCAACAUACCCUUAUCUGGGGGAUAGCCUUCUGAAAAGGAGAUUAAUACCCCAUAGUAUAGUUGCCUGGCAUCAGGUGAUUAUUAA
Molecule: ribosomal RNA, 200 nt
Filed under: uncultured bacterium
Lineage: Bacteria
Description: partial 16S ribosomal RNA
Rfam family: Bacterial small subunit ribosomal RNA
Source: RNAcentral